Molecule: RNA transcript, 1386 nt
Organism: Pan troglodytes (chimpanzee)
Lineage: Eukaryota; Metazoa; Chordata; Mammalia; Primates; Hominidae
Gene: BORCS8
Gene name: BLOC-1 related complex subunit 8
Exons: 8
Source: RefSeq, marked validated
GGAACUGGAGCCGUGCGGCGUCCGGUUUCAGCAGGGAAGGCUUAGGCGGGCGUCCCAGCCUCCGGGCUUCCGGUGCCGUUUCCCGGUUCGCUGGGCCGCGGUCGCUAUGGAGGAGCCGGAGAUGCAGCUCAAGGGGAAGAAAGUCACGGACAAGUUCACUGAGAGCGUCUACGUCCUGGCCAACGAGCCAUCUGUGGCCCUGUACCGGCUGCAGGAGCAUGUGCGUCGCUCCCUCCCCGAGCUGGCCCAGCACAAGGCAGACAUGCAGCGUUGGGAGGAGCAGAGCCAGGGAGCCAUCUACACUGUGGAGUACGCCUGCAGCGCCGUGAAGAACCUGGUGGACAGCAGCGUCUACUUCCGCAGCGUGGAGGGUCUGCUCAAACAGGCCAUCAGCAUCCGGGACCAUAUGAAUGCCAGUGCCCAGGGCCACAGCCCGGAGGAACCACCCCCGCCCUCCUCAGCCUGAUCCUGGAAGAGACUCGGGGCCCCCCAGCCUCCGCCAACCCAGGACCUUAAGCACUGCCCUGUUUUACAGAAGAGGAAACGGAGGCCCCGAGAGCCUGACUGAAGCUGGGCCAGGCAGAGACUGAAGACUGAACGAGUGUGGCCAGCAUUCCUCCUGCACCUGCCCGGAGCCUCCAGGCCCAGCCGUCAAUGUUCCCAGAAGUCCAGAAGUGGCUUUGCUGCUCCUGGACUCUCACUGGCGCCCCAUCGACCCUUGGACCAAUAACUGCCAUCAAAAUAAUCCUGAUUAUGCACCUAUCAAGUCCCUGGCCCUGGGCUAAAGUCUUCACAGGGGUCAUCUCAUUUCAUCCUCAGCCCCAAAAGAGACGGGGUUUCACCAUGUUGGCUAGGCUGGUCUCAAACUCCUGAGCUCGUGAUCCUCCCACCUCAGCCUCCCAAAGUGCUGGGAUUAUAGAUGUGAGCCACCGCACCCAGCCUUGGUUCUCCCUUUCUUCAUCUGGAUAAGGAAGGCUGGACUGCACCUUCUCUACAGGCUGAGUUGGACAUUCGCAGAUCUACCCUCCCAACCUGCAUUCUGCCUCAAGCAGCAACGCCCACCCCAGGCUCAGGCCACAUGGAGAAGCCACCCCUAGUUCCAGUGGUGGAUGUGGCACCUCGGCCUGGCCAAUCAGAGCUCCCUUGUCCUAGGUUCCUAGUGAUUGGUUCAAGAUGGACACGUGACCCAAUGAGCGGCCUUUCCUGGGAGUUCUACCAGGAGCAUCAGGAAGGUUGAGCUGGGUGUAUGGGAACCAGGCCGGGGCGAGGGGUUCCAGGGGGGACCUGAGAACAUUGCGUGGAGCCCUGGAUCCAACUGUACCUGACACUAGCCAAUUUCAUUUCUUCAGUUUCAUGGACCCCUAAAUUAUGAUUUUUGCCAAAAUG